Molecule: ribosomal RNA, 468 nt
Filed under: uncultured bacterium
Lineage: Bacteria
Description: partial 16S ribosomal RNA
Rfam family: Bacterial small subunit ribosomal RNA
Source: RNAcentral
GACGAACGCUGGCGGCGUGCUUAACACAUGCAAGUCGAACGGAAAGGCCCUGCUUUUGUGGGGUGCUCGAUUGGCGAACGGGUGAGUAACACGUGAGUAACCUGCCCUUGACUUUGGGAUAACUUCAGGAAACUGGGGCUAAUACCGGAUAGGAGCUCCUGCUGCAUGUUGUGGGUUGGAAAGUUUCGGCGGUUGGGGAUGGACUCGCGGCUUAUCAGCUUGUUGGUGUGGUAGUGGCUUACCAAGGCUUUGACGGGUAGCCGGCCUGAGAGGGUGACCGGCCACAUUGGGACUGAGAUACGGCCCAGACUCGUACGGGAGGCAGCAGUGGGGAAUAUUGCAGAAUGGGCGGAAGCCUGAUGCAGCAACGCCGCGUGCGGGAUGACGGCCUUCGGGUUGUAAACCGCUUUCGCCGGUGACGAAGCGGGAGUGACGGUAAUGGGUAAAGAAGCAACGGCUAACUACGUG